AUCUUAGUUUUGAGAUAGGGUCUGUUAUGUAACCCAGGUUGGAUUGACUCCUCAGGCUUCCCAGUGCUGAGAUUGCUAGGAUUAUAGGCAUGUGCCACCAUACCUGGCUACUUUUGUUUGUUAAGACUAAUAUUACAUAUGUUUGUAUCGAAUAUUCUAAAACCAUUGGAGACUGUUAACAGAUCAUACAUAUAAAUCUUUAAAUUCUUUUCAAAAUUAACUAAACAUUUUAUUAAUUCCAAAUGAGAAGCAGUUAUUUGUUGAACUGGAAAAAAUUUUGCAUGAUUUUUUUUGUUUGUUGAAACAGGGUCUCCCUGUAUAGUCCAGGCUGGCUUCAAACUCACAGCCUGCCUCUGCUUCCUGAGUGCUGAGAUUAAAGGUGUGCAUCAUCACACUGAGCUUUUACAUGAUUCUUAAACUGAAAGUUAGUGUUAGAAUUGGGAUAGCCUUUCUGUAUUGUAGAUAGGAGCCUUUUUUUUUUUUUUGGUCUUUUUGAGACAGGGUCUCCCUGAAGUCACAGCUGGCCUGGAUUCACUAUGGAGACUCGGCUAGCCUUGAACUCACAGAGAGCCACUUGCCUCUGCCUCCCAAGUGCUGGGAUUAAAGGCAUGGGUCACCACAGCCAGCUCUGUAGAUAGAAGACUUUUAAUGGUAUGAUAAAUACACAGGGUUGGGGCAGCAUAGGAACUUUUUAGUUUACAGAACAGUUUUUGGGAUUGAACGUAGAAAUUUUGGGUUGGGAGUGGUAUGAGAGGAUAAAUGAGGUUACAUGGAGCUCAAGAGACCAGAUUUACAUCCAGGGAUGAUCUAUUUGUGCCUUACCAAAUAGUUUACUGUAUAACAAGCCUAACACCUUAGUACAUACUGAUAAAACCAUGUGUUUACUUUAGGAAACUUUGGAGGGCAAGUAGUUAUCUUGGAAUUUCAUGAUUAAAGACAAAAUGGACUAAGGGAGUGGUCAGGGGCAGAACACUGCUCAGCAUUCCAGGGGCCUUGAUAUUAAUCCCCCCUAGCAACCCCCUUCUCUCAAAAACAGCGUCAAAUAAAACAAACUAUAAAGCUUCAGAAAAUGACAGGACUGAGUAAAUUAACCAAUGUUUGUAGACAAGAAUAUUCAAAAACCAAUAGAUGUAUUUGUUUUAUUAAUUGUAGCCAAUGCUUUAGAACAGUAAAACAGAGGAUGUUUUCUGUGUGUGACUUACAGCCACUUUUUUAUACAGUGUACUUUAUAUACAACACUUGUAAUAAAUAUAUUAAAAUUGCAUUGUAAUCAUUCUCCUAGUCCAGUUUUUUCAGUGGCCUAACCUUGUUUUAUAAACUUUUCUUGGACCAUUUUCUUUCCUGAGGGGUCUUCAUCUCUUUUGUUUAUUUAUUUAGGUCUUUUUGAGACAGGGUCUUCCUUAGCCCCAGCUAGCCUGGAACUUGCUAUGUAGACUAGGCUGGCCUUGAAUUCUGCCUGCCUCUGCUAGGAUUAAAGGUAUGUGUCACCAAGCCUAGCUUCAUCUCUUUAUAUGUUGAUAACUUCCAAAUCUACUUUACAUAAACUUUGAGCGUGUAGCUCCAAGUAAACAAUUCCUUGCUACACCAAACUUUUUCAGAUACUAUGUAGCCUACCUGUCCUGAAACUCAGCAAUCAUUCUGCCUCAGCCUUCUGAGUGCUGGGAUUACAGGCAUUUGUAUCAACACCUGUCCUCCAACUCUGUAUCUAGAAGAAUUCUCUUCCCCUGAAAUGUUGUAUACUCACACUUACCCAUUUAGUUCUCUUGGCUUAUAUUUAAACUUGAAAAUGCCUUUUUAAAGGAAAUUUAAUUCCCGCUGCCAAUAUCUUAAGUCCCCUAUUCUUCCAUACGACAUCAAGUAUUCAAAAAACGAGUGAUUUCAAGGAAACUCAUAAAACUCCAAGUACUUGUAUCCAGUUUGAAGCUCAGGGGUUCUAGCCCUCAGUCAGAGCAUCCAAGAUCUUAAGCAUGCUAAUAUCCGGAACCCAGGCCGGAGGACACUCAGAGUCACCAAAAGCUCUACAUGCGAACUCAUACCCAGUCCAAGGGCAACGCAGAACUUGAUUGUGCAAGUUCCCUUCUUGGGCAGUGAAGAUUUCGGGUCCUCUUCGUGGAGAGUUUUGCGUUUAAGGCGCAUUCUUUACUGCCGGGCUCCGUUGUAACUUCACAGCAGACCGGAAAGCUACCCCAUCCACCUCUACCGGAAGGCGGUGACGUCACGGCGAGACUGCACUGACCUGGUUUAGGGGCUUCCCGGACCCAAGAGCCCUGAAGGCCAGAGAGGAGGAGCAAGGGCGGGGGCACGGUUCCUCGGUCCCGAGCGGAGCCGGAGUCGGGUACCCGUCCCGCCAGCUGCCCGAGAGUCAAGACCUCCACCCGGACAGCUCUCGGGGCGGAGAAACAAUGGGGAUGUUCGUGGGGGGCGGCCAAACUUCCUGUCCCGCUCUCGAGCUGCUUCCGGCGAGAGCCGGAAGACGCCGUAUGUGGACGGAAUUCGGGACUGACGGCCGGCCAGGUGCCCCGGAGUGGAAGCUCCUGGUUCAGUUUGUUCAGAAUACCUCCAUCCCACUGGGACAGGGGCUAGUUGAGUCAGAAGCUAAAGACAUUACUUGCUUAUCCCUCCUUCCAGUGACAGAGGCCUCAGAAUGCAGUCGGCUAAUGUUACCAGAUGAUACUCCAAAUCAUAACAAUUCCUCCAAGGAGGUCCCUUCCUCAGCUGUUUUGAGGAGCCUUCAGGUGAAUGUGGGCCCAGACGGAGAGGAAACAAGAGCUCAGACUGUACAGAAGACCCCAGAGUUUUUGUCCACCCCAGAGUCUCCUAGCUUGUUGCAAGAUCUACAGCCAAGUGACAACACUUCAUUUAUUCUUCUUAACCUAACAAGAGCAGGUCUGGGCUCUUCAGCUGAGCACUUGGUAUUUGUACAGGAUGAGACAGAGGAUUCAGGAAAUGAUUUCCUCUCCAAUGAGAGCAGUGACAGUAGUAUUCCAUGGUUCCUCCGGGUUCAGGAGUUGGCCCAUGACAGUUUGAUUGCUGCUACUCGUGCACAACUAGCAAAGAAUGCAAGAACAAGCAGCAAUGGAGAAAAUGUUCACCUUGGUUCUGGUGAUGGGCAACCCAAAGAUUCCGGGCCCCUUCCUCAAGUGGAAAAGAAGCUCAAGUGCACAGUUGAAGGCUGUGACCGAACAUUUGUGUGGCCAGCUCACUAUAAGUACCACCUCAAAACUCAUCGAAAUGAUCGUUCCUUCAUCUGCCCUGCAGAAGGCUGUGGGAAAAGCUUCUAUGUGCUACAGAGGCUGAAGGUGCACAUGAGGACACACAAUGGGGAGAAGCCCUUUAUGUGCCAUGAGUCUGGGUGUGGUAAGCAGUUCACUACAGCAGGAAACCUGAAGAACCACCGUCGCAUCCACACAGGAGAGAAGCCUUUCCUUUGUGAAGCCCAAGGAUGUGGUCGUUCCUUUGCUGAGUAUUCAAGCCUCCGAAAACACCUGGUAGUUCACUCAGGAGAGAAACCUCAUCAGUGCCAAGUCUGUGGAAAAACCUUCUCUCAGAGUGGGAGCAGGAAUGUGCAUAUGAGAAAGCAUCACUUGCAGCUGGGAGCAGCUGGGAGUCAAGAACAGGAGCAAACUGCUGAGCCACUAAUGGGCAGUAGUUUGCUUGAAGAAGCUUCGGUACCCAGUAAAAACCUGGUGUCUAUGAAUUCCCAGUCCAGCCUUGGUGGAGAGUCCUUGAAUCUGUCAAACACCAGUUCUAUCCUGGGAGUUGAUGAUGUUAUCGAAGAACUUAACUUUUAAAACAUUUAAACAGAACAUAACCAGGUUUUACAGAGGAGAUAAAAAGCAAUUUCUCCAUACCUUCAAAAGCCAUAUCUUCUGGAGAAAAGAAAGGGCUCUCUAGGAAACAAAUGCUCCUCUGGUAUAGAAAUUUCACCCAGCUUACACAGGCCAGGCCCUCUUCUCUCAAAAACGUACCAGAGGUGCUUACUGAAGGAUCCCCACGUCCCCUGUCUUCAGUGCCUGAUGUGACACAUCACUUGGUGACCAUGCAGUCAGGGAGGCAGUCAUAUGAAGUUUCUGUCUUAACUGCAGUAAAUCCACAGGAGUUAUUAAACCAAGGAGAUUUAACUGAAAGACGGACAUGAGCGUGGGUACUGACUCCUGGAGGAGUUCUGUCUGAUCCCAGAGUACAUAAUGGAAGCAGGAUCCAAAAGGCUUAGAACCUGCCAGAACCAAAAUGAAUCUGUGGACAAGAUCCUGCCUUUGCCUCUAUUCAUCUUCCCUGGCAGAGAAGAGGGAUGUAUAAGAGCUUUUCUUCAGCCUCUAUCUGAUCCAGACAAGAAGUAAAGCAGUGACUGUGGCCUGAAUACCUAUAGCUGCCUCUCCUCACUGUAAAGUUUGGGAUAUACUUCCAAAUGCAAGUUUGAUGGUGUGUUGGCUAAAGAUUUUCAUGACUAUUGAGGGAAGCUUUUCCUUUGAAGAGUUUUCAUCCCAUACCCAGCUAUUUUCACAUGAUGAACGAUACCCUGCCUCUAACCACAGAAGUUCACCAGGAAGUUGAGUUUUCAAGAUGCCUUGUUGCUUUGAAGAAGGGAGUGAUGUCAGUUAUGUUGUGGCAUUCUCCCUUUAGCAACCUGAGUAAGAAACUCUCAGCCAUUGGGCUGUAAAAAUAAAUUACUUGAAUCCC
Nannospalax galili (Upper Galilee mountains blind mole rat) is the source of this 4680-nucleotide RNA transcript. It is a transcript of the gene named zinc finger protein 410, with no coding region annotated. The record is from RefSeq and is a predicted model, not a curated record. The transcript is spliced from 12 exons. Lineage: Eukaryota; Metazoa; Chordata; Mammalia; Rodentia; Spalacidae.